UUUCAACGAGCGGCUGUGAAUCAAUUUCACAGCCAAAUUAUCCCAAGUCGGGUGUUUUGUUUUGCCAGUAAACUGAGCUCGUUAAACGCAACACCUCGUGAAAAGCAGGAAGGCAAAGACAUAAAAUACCGUAUUAUUGUAAAUAGUUAUCUAUAUUUCUAUAUCUCCUGGCAUUGUGUAAACUGUCUGAGGAGUACUUGAUUAAAGAUUAAAGACCCAUGCAACCACAACACUCGGC
Molecule: non-coding RNA, 238 nt
Organism: Paramuricea clavata
Lineage: Eukaryota; Metazoa; Cnidaria; Anthozoa; Malacalcyonacea; Plexauridae
Source: the annotation of a GenBank genome assembly